Microtus oregoni (creeping vole) is the source of this 555-nucleotide long non-coding RNA. RefSeq lists it as uncharacterized. The record is from RefSeq and is a predicted model, not a curated record. The transcript has 4 exons. Lineage: Eukaryota; Metazoa; Chordata; Mammalia; Rodentia; Cricetidae.
GCGCUGGCAGUGAAAAUUCAAACCAGGCGUGGCAGCAUCCACAGAUUACAGCUCAGUAGUGAGGAAAAGAAAUGCAAGCUAAUCGUUGCUUGCUUUAGAAGAAGCCAGCUCCUCUAAAGGAAACUCCAUUAAUGGAUGGAUGUAGGACCCACUUCCUACCAAUGAAACGCAAGGCCAGUUUCCAUAUUCCUAGGAAUAAGGGAGCAUCCCUGUGAUCUACUGUAGAAGCAAAGCCGAUGAACAAUUUAUUCGGAUAGAAAGGAUCAUGGCAGAGCACUCAGCUUGAGCAGCCUUCUCUCCUCUGGGAAGAGGAGGUAGGAAUCCUAACUGGGUUCCCGAGGAGUCUUGAUUGACUCCAGCCAGAGCUGAUGAGACAGCGCGCUCCAGAAGAGGACAGUGGGAGGGAGACGCAAGCUCUGGAACUGGAGACCAGGUCCCUACUUACAGGUUGUGUAUACGGUGACUCUUCAGGCAUCAAUGGUUUGGUGUUUUUAACAGCCUGUGGACCAGGUAGCAUCACCAUUCACGUGAAAACGCCAUGAAAAGAAGAAAAGA